Mesocricetus auratus (golden hamster) is the source of this 1232-nucleotide long non-coding RNA. RefSeq lists it as uncharacterized. Lineage: Eukaryota; Metazoa; Chordata; Mammalia; Rodentia; Cricetidae. The record is from RefSeq and is a predicted model, not a curated record. The transcript has 4 exons.
ACGUCUCCAGGCCUUUGGCUAGGGGGCAGGAAGGCCACUGAUGGGUAAAGCAAUGGGAAGAAGCUCGCUGAGAGUCAUUUGUGAUGGGUCUUGACAAAAGUAGACAGGAGCAAAGGCUGAGUGUGUUAGCGGGAGAGCAUCAGAGGUCCAUCCAGGUGUAAGGUUCACGUUUCUAUGCAGAGGAGCAGAGGGCCAUGCAGGAGGGCCCAUGGGCUUUGGAAGACAAUGGAGAGCAAAAGAUAGCUGGGCUGACCUGGGCCAAGUUGAUCCUUUGAUUCUCUGGAAGCUCGUCAGCUCCGAAUUCACUCACCUCUUUUGGGGGCUUGUCUUUCUAUCUCUCUGAGCCCUAGUUUCUCCUGCAGAAUAGGCACGAAGAGUGGACCUUGGAGUCCGUUGAAGGAUAGAACAGAUGGCCUGAGGUGGGAGCUGGAACCUCAUGAAGCAAGAGGCUUGCCAGCUCUGCUGGUGUCCACAGGGGCAGAUCCAUGCUGAGCCCUACUCCUCCCUCCAGCCUAGGACAGCCCAACCGAGGCACCUGAAGGCAGGCAUUGUAGAGAAUACUAAGGAGUCCUUGAAGAACAUUUGUCAGGCCUAUGCCUCAGGGACACCGUGAGGCCCGCUCUACCCUGUCAGUCUGCCCAAACCACUGUCCUCAUCCAACCUCCCGGGCCACACGGAACCUCAUUUGCCCUCCUGCAGCAAAUUCUCUGAAAUGGACACAUGUUCCCGGUGCAGCCAGCAGGGCAGGACAGCACCUGGCAGCUGGACAUUCCUUGAGCAAGCACAGGGACUGCAACAGAAUCAAGCAUUGCAGCUUCCCAAAGCUUCUGUGUCUAGCCCUGAGGCUCCAGUGAACCUUAGGGGCUGAAUUAGAAUUUCAAGCCUUGAGCCAAGAGGCUCAGCCCUGUGUGAGUAUGGUUGAGUCUUAGCUAGUGAAUGAGAAACGUGGGAGAGACUCUAGCAGCCAGUAGACUUUGGAGCUAGGAUGCAGGAGGCUAGGGGCCUUGUGGGCUUAACAAGAGUCCGAGGACGCUUUAGUGUUUAGCCAGAAGGGGGAAAUGGCAGAGGUGACAUAGAAAACUCUGAAGGCAGGUGAGCAAAUGAGUGCUAUGAUCUUGUAGAACAUCCUGGAGGGCAGUGGGACAGAGGUGGACAGAGGGCCACCGAGGGGAUUUCAGUUCUAGUCAGAAAAACCAGGCGACUCACGUCCUCACCAAGAGCAAGAAUCUUAG